This 82-nucleotide transfer RNA is filed under the name Mycolicibacterium sp. CBMA 294. Its description in RNAcentral is "tRNA-Tyr". It matches the Rfam family "tRNA". From Rfam's summary of the family: Transfer RNA (tRNA) molecules are approximately 80 nucleotides in length. Their secondary structure includes four short double-helical elements and three loops (D, anti-codon, and T loops). Further hydrogen bonds mediate the characteristic L-shaped molecular structure. tRNAs have two regions of fundamental functional importance: the anti-codon, which is responsible for specific mRNA codon recognition, and the 3' end, to which the tRNAs corresponding amino acid is attached (by aminoacyl-tRNA synthetases). tRNAs cope with the degeneracy of the genetic code in two manners: having more than one tRNA (with a specific anti-codon) for a particular amino acid; and 'wobble' base-pairing, i.e. permitting non-standard base-pairing at the 3rd anti-codon position. RNAcentral also lists the same sequence under 5 other names. The record is from RNAcentral. Lineage: Bacteria; Bacillati; Actinomycetota; Actinomycetes; Mycobacteriales; Mycobacteriaceae.
GCCGGCACUGCGCAGAUUGUGAGGCGCGCCUGACUGUAAAUCAGGUCUUUCGAGUGAGGGGGUUCGAAUCCCUCUGCCGACA